RNAcentral lists this transfer RNA (70 nucleotides) under Dipodomys ordii (Ord's kangaroo rat). It matches the Rfam family "tRNA". Rfam says of the family: Transfer RNA (tRNA) molecules are approximately 80 nucleotides in length. The record is from Rfam by way of RNAcentral. Lineage: Eukaryota; Metazoa; Chordata; Mammalia; Rodentia; Heteromyidae.
GGGAAUGUGGCUGAGUGGUAGAGUGCUUGCCUAACAUGCAUGAAAUCCUGGGUUCAAUUCCUCAGCACCA